UGUCUCCUAACAGGGGACUGAGGUUUCUCGAGAAGGCAGAGCUGUGCUCUAGAGAAGAUGAGACUGCUGGGUCUCCUCCUGUGCCUGGUGACAGCCCCCCUGGGUGUCCUGUCCCAGGUGCAGCUUCAGGAAUCUGGCCCAGGACUGGUGAAGCCCUCUCAGACCCUCUCCCUCGCCUGCACUGUGCCUGGGUUCUCCAUCACAACCAAUGGUUACUGCUGGCACUGGAUCCACCAGCCUCCAGGGAAGGGGCUGGAGUGGAUUGGGGAUAUAUGUUACGAUGGGAACUCUUACUACAGUCCAGGUCUCAAGAGACACACCUCCAUCUCCAGAGACAUGUCCAAGAACCAGUUUCCCUGCAGCUGAGAGCCAUGACCACUG
This is a non-coding RNA of Phyllostomus discolor (pale spear-nosed bat), 381 nucleotides long. Lineage: Eukaryota; Metazoa; Chordata; Mammalia; Chiroptera; Phyllostomidae. The record is from the annotation of a RefSeq genome assembly.